This 559-nucleotide ribosomal RNA is filed under the name uncultured soil bacterium. RNAcentral describes it as "bacterial SSU rRNA". It matches the Rfam family "Bacterial small subunit ribosomal RNA", at positions 35 to 609 of the family's 1533-position model. The record is from RNAcentral.
GCUGGCGGCGUGCCUAACACAUGCAAGUCGAACGAGAAAGUGGAGCAAUCCAUGAGUAAAGUGGCGACCGGGUGAGUAACACGUGACCAACCUACCCUCGAGUGGGGAACAACCUCGGGAAACCGGGGCUAAUACCGCAUAAUGUCUUUGGGGUGCAAUUCCCUGGGGAUCAAAGGAGCAAUUCGCUUGAGGAGGGGGUCGCGGCUGAUUAGCUAGUUGGCGGGGUAAUGGCCCACCAAGGCGAAGAUCGGUAGCCGGCCUGAGAGGGCGCACGGCCACACUGGAACUGAAACACGGUCCAGACUCCUACGGGAGGCAGCAGUGGGGAAUUUUGCGCAAUGGGGGAAACCCUGACGCAGCAACGCCGCGUGGAGGAUGAAGUCCUUUGGGACGUAAACUCCUUUCGACCGGGACGAUAAUGACGGUACCGGUGGAAGAAGCCCCGGCUAACUCUGUGCCAGCAGCCGCGGUAAUACAGGGGGGGCGAGCGUUGUUCGGAAUUAUUGGGCGUAAAGGGCGCGUAGGCGGUGCGGUAAGUCACCUGUGAAACCUCUGGGCU